GUUGGUUUAGCUGAAGUGGUAAAGCCUUCGAUUGAUGAUGAUCGGGGAUUUAGUAGUUCUAAUCUACUGGCUGACA
This is a non-coding RNA of Circinella umbellata, 76 nucleotides long. The record is from the annotation of a GenBank genome assembly. NCBI's taxonomy places the organism in Eukaryota, Fungi, Mucoromycota, Mucoromycetes, Mucorales, Lichtheimiaceae.